GUCACCCUUAUGGUUUUCAGUUCAAAAAGUUUGAAGAGAUUGAUAUGGAGUUGUCUCAAUCUGCGUUAACAGUUGAUGUUAUUGGAAACGUCGUAUGGUGUGGAGACUUGGAUAUUUUCAAAGGGAAAUCUGGUAAAGACACCAAGAGGCUUCAUUUGGAUCUUCAAGAUUUGUAUGGUAAGGUUUUGCGAUGCACUUUAUGGGCUGAUUAUGUUGUUCAAGUGAGCAAUUAUAUCAGUAACCAUAAGGAAGAAGAAAGUGU
Long non-coding RNA from Erigeron canadensis, 262 nucleotides. RefSeq lists it as uncharacterized. The transcript is spliced from 3 exons. The record is from RefSeq and is a predicted model, not a curated record. Lineage: Eukaryota; Viridiplantae; Streptophyta; Magnoliopsida; Asterales; Asteraceae.